Sus scrofa (pig) is the source of this 7507-nucleotide non-coding RNA. Lineage: Eukaryota; Metazoa; Chordata; Mammalia; Artiodactyla; Suidae. The record is from RefSeq and is a predicted model, not a curated record.
CUCUGGGGCCGGGGGAGGGGGGCGCAGGGCGUCUGGCUGCUGCCGUCUUCUUCCUCCUGGAGACUUCAUCCUGCGGAACCCACCCCUCGCUCCGUCCCGCUAAGUGAGCCUGUAGCGACUGUGGGUUGUUCAUGCCACCGGGACAGCCAGUGCCAAAUGUUCUCGGCCCCACGCGGGACCUCCCGAGGGAGAGGCCCUCCUGUGGGGUCAGACUGAGCAAAUGACGUAGAAUUUGGGAGAAAAUAAGCUCUCCCAGUCCUGUUUCCCCCUCAUCUAACUGGAGUUUUGAUUUCCUGUCAGGUUAAACAUCGUGGUUUUUGCACGUGGUGAAGGAAUUCACCCGUGUAAGUUCACGCAUACUUGGAUGAACUGGUCCCGCCCGCUUGCCCUUGGGCGUUUUCUGGAUUGCUCCUUUCCCGGUUUAGAAGGACCCUUCUCCCUCUGGUUAACGCGAACCCCAUCGAAGCCUCAGCUCGCACUUUCUCUUAAGCAGAAAGGGGAGUUCCCAGCCAGCCGUGCUGCUUUUAUUUAUAGCACUUGAUUUCCUGAGAGGAGUCAGGGAACGUCCGUCCUCCCCUGGCCCCUCGGGCUCCUCCUCUGCCCUCGGUCCCCCAGCUGCGGGCGGGCGGGGGCGGCGUGGGGGCUGGACGGGGACCCCCGUGCCAGGUGCUCGCAGCAAACGCGAGAUCAGAGGAGGAAUUAUGUCAUUCCCGGGCAGGAAUGCCUCCAGCGUGCUCCUGCGUGUGUCUGACUGACAGCACCACACAGGCUCCGGCGCCUAUAAAGGAGCCCCGCGCCCGCUCCUCGCAGCGCAGCGUGGGGCCGGGUCUCCCUCCUGGACGGUGCUCCGGGCUGCGAGGAGCCAGCCCCACGGGGUCUCCACGUUGCAGGGUUUUCACUGGAGGGAAGCAGGAUGCUGUGGCCUCUGCUGCUGCUGGCCUCGGGGGCCUGGUCUAGCGCUCGGGCUGGUGACCAGGACGAGGACACCGCCUUUGACCUCUUCAGCGUCAGCAACAUCAACAGGAAGACCAUCGGGGCCAAGCAGUUCCGGGGCCCGGACCCCAGCGUGCCCGCCUACCGCUUCGUGCGCUUCGACUACAUCCCGCCGGUGGGCGCGGAGCCUCUGGGCCGGAUCGCCGAGGCCAUGCGGCGGAAGGAGGGCUUCUUCCUGACGGCCAGCCUGAAGCAGGACCGCAAGUCGCGGGGCACGCUCCUGGCGCUGGAGGGCCCGGGGGCCACGCGCAGGCAGUUCGAGAUCGUCUCCAACGGCCCCGCCGACACGCUGGACCUGACCUACUGGGUGGACGGCGCCCAGCACGUCAUCUCCCUGGAGGACGUGGGCCUGGCCGACGCCCAGUGGAAGAACGUCACGGUGCAGGUGACCGGGGAGACCUACAGCCUGUACGUGGGCUGCGACCUGAUGGACAGCUUCACGCUGGACGAGCCUUUCUACGAGCAGCUGAAGACCGAGCAGAGCCGGAUGUACGUGGCCAAGGGCUCCGCCCGCGAGAGCCACUUCAGGGGUUUGCUGCAGAAUGUCUUCUUAGUUUUUGAAAACUCCGUGGAAGAUCUUCUAAGCAAGAAGGGCUGUCGGCAAAGCCAGGGAGCCGAAGCCAACGCCAUCAGUGAGAACACAGAGACGCUCCACCUGAGCCCCCCGGUCUCCACGGGGCACGUGGGCCUGGGCGCGGAGAAGGGCCGGGAGGUGUGCGAGCACUCCUGCGAGGAGCUGGGCAGCAUGAUCCAGGAGCUGUCGGGGCUGCACGUCAUCGUGAGCCAGCUCCACGAGAACCUGCGCAAAGUGUCAAACGACAACCAGUUUCUCUGGGAGCUCAUUGGCGGGCCCCCCAAGACCAGGAACGUGUCCGCCUGCUGGCAGGACGGCCGCUUCUUCGCCGAGAACGAGACCUGGGUGGUGGACAGCUGCACCAAAUGCACCUGCAGGAAGUUCAAAACUGUUUGCCACCAAAUCACCUGCCCGCCAGCGACAUGUGCCGACCCGGCCUUCGUGGACGGCGAGUGCUGCCCAUCCUGCUUCUCGGACGGCGAGGAGGGCUGGUCCCCGUGGGCGGAGUGGACGGAGUGCUCUGCCACCUGUGGGCCCGGCACCCAGCAGAGGGGGCGGUCCUGCGACGUGACCAGCAACACCUGCCUGGGGCCGUCCAUCCAGACGCGGGCGUGCAGCCUGGGCAAGUGCGACCACCGCAUCCGGCAGGACGGCGGCUGGAGCCACUGGUCUCCUUGGUCCUCCUGCUCCGUGACCUGCGGGGUCGGCAACAUCACGCGCAUCCGUCUCUGCAACUCGCCGGUGCCGCAGAUGGGCGGGCGGGGCUGCAAGGGGAGCGGCCGCGAGACCAGGGCCUGCCAGGGCCCACCCUGCCCCGUGGAUGGUCGGUGGAGCCCCUGGUCCCCGUGGUCGGCCUGCACGGUCACCUGUGCCGGCGGCAUCCGGGAGCGGACGCGUGUCUGCAACAGCCCGGAGCCGCAGCACGGUGGCAAGGACUGCGUGGGGGACGUGAAGGAGCAGCAGAUGUGCAACAAGAGGAGCUGCCCAGUAGACGGCUGUUUGUCCAACCCCUGCUUCCCCGGGGCCUCGUGCAGCAGUUUCCCCGACGGGUCCUGGUCCUGCGGCUCCUGCCCCGUGGGCUUCCUGGGCAACGGCACCCACUGCGAGGACCUGGACGAGUGCGCCGUGGUCACGGACGUGUGCUUCACGACCAGCAAGGCGCACCGCUGCGUCAACACCGACCCCGGCUUCCACUGCCUGCCCUGCCCCCCGCGCUACAAGGGGAGCCAGCCCUUCGGCGUCGGCCUGGAGGCGGCCAGGACCGAGAAGCAGGUGUGUGAGCCUGAAAACCCCUGCGAGGACAAGACCCACAACUGCCACAGGCAUGCUGAGUGUGUCUACCUGGGCCACUUCAGCGACCCCAUGUUCAAGUGCGAGUGCCGGACGGGCUACGCGGGUGACGGGCUCAUCUGUGGGGAAGAUUCGGACCUGGACGGCUGGCCCAACAAGAACCUGGUCUGCGCCACCAACGCCACCUACCACUGCAUCAAGGACAACUGCCCGCUCCUGCCUAACUCUGGGCAAGAGGACUUUGACAAGGACGGCACUGGGGACGCCUGUGACGACGACGACGACAACGACGGCGUCAGUGAUGAGAAGGACAACUGCCAGCUUCUCUUCAACCCCCGUCAGUUUGACUACGACAAAGACGAGGUUGGGGACCGCUGCGACAACUGCCCCUACGUGCACAACCCCGCACAGAUCGACACCGACAGCAACGGGGAGGGCGAUGCCUGCUCCGUGGACAUCGACGGCGACGAUGUCUUCAACGAGCGAGACAACUGUCCCUACGUCUACAACACCGACCAGAGAGACACGGACGGCGACGGCGUGGGCGACCACUGCGACAACUGCCCCCUGGUGCACAAUCCCGACCAGACGGACGUGGACAACGACCUCGUGGGAGACCAGUGUGACAACAAUGAGGACGUCGACGAGGACGGCCACCAGAACAACCAGGACAACUGUCCCUACAUCUCCAACGCCAACCAGGCCGACCACGACCACGACGGCAAGGGCGACGCCUGCGACUCGGAUGACGACAACGAUGGGGUCCCGGAUGACAGGGACAACUGCCGGCUAGUCGCCAACCCCGACCAGGAGGACUCGGACGGUGGGUGCUGCCCAGGCCACGUGCAGAGCCUCAGCCCGUGGGGGGGGGGGUCCGCAGGGGGCUCGGCCUCUCCUGCCAGAGCCUCAGGCUGCACUACGGUGCAGAGCUGUGCACGGGGGCGGUUUGCAUGUCCCCUGGCUUCUGCUCGCACGCCCGGGGGACGUGGUUUCCAGGGUGCAGACCUGGCUGACCAGGUGCCGCGUGGAGGAUGCACGCCCACCGUGGACGAGGUGGGGACCUGGGGUUUGAGCCAGUGGGACCCACGGACUCACGGAGGACUCACUGAUCUGAAGCGCAGCUCCAAGGACCCCCCUCCCGCCCCCCGCCUCACCCCCAGCAGCAUGGGGCUCAUUCUAGACAUGAGAAUGGAUGGUCCUGGCCUGCAGCCGCUGGGCCCGGGAGGGGCUUGCAGGGCGACAGGCAGCCUUUCACGGGAAGCAGGGGUGGGGCUGGGGUGGAGGCCAGGCUGGCGCACGGGGCAUGUUCGUGGUUUGGAGGCACCUCACACGGGGGCCUGUCACACGGCAGUCGGGGGGUGGGGGGGCGCGUGUCAGGCUCGAGCGCCGAGAAGUCGUUUGAAGGCUGUGAUGGGAGUCAGGUUGAACGCGGAGGCGUUUCUCCUUCUGAAGCAGUGGGCGCCAAGUGGGCUAGUUUGGCCGGUGGCGUCUGCCUGUGGGAGCGCCAGCAUCUCCAGGAGCCGCAGGGCCCGGAAGGUCUCGGGGGCGUCUCUCCAGGUGCGGGCUGGUCCCCGCCUCGCUGGCACUUGGACGAGGUGCUCCCCCAAUGAAGUCUGUUUUCGAGAAAGUGGCUGCUUUAAACAGACCGCAGGGGGGACUAGGGUGAUGCUCGCAGUUCCGAGAAUGAGCAGGGCAGGAUCUGGAAGUUCAGCCUCAUGGUGCUCGGCAGCGUCCGGUUUUGGUCCCUGAUUUCACCUUCAGGAGGAAGCGAGGUGACUCGACAGGAGCUUGGGUGGCGGGCGUUGCUACGGGACGUGUCACAGCGAUGUUUUCCAAAGCGUCCAGACGCUUCCCAGCGUUCGGGCCAAGCGCCAGAGGUCAUGACACACAGCCAAGCUCUUACCCCCGUUUUCAGAGAAUCGCCUCCGGCUCCCUCAGACACAGAAAGGCAGGUGGCACACUGUUCCUUGGCCUUUUCUCUGCUUGUCCUUGGUGACAGGUGAUGGGCGUGGCGACGCUUGUAAAGACGACUUUGACAACGACAGCAUCCCGGACAUUGACGACGUGUGUCCCGAGAACAACGCCAUCAGCGAGACGGACUUCCGCAACUUCCAGAUGGUGCCCCUGGACCCCAAGGGCACCACGCAGAUCGAUCCCAACUGGGUCAUUCGCCACCAAGGCAAGGAGCUGGUGCAGACGGCCAACUCCGACCCCGGCAUCGCUGUGGGUUUUGACGAGUUUGGGUCCGUGGACUUCAGCGGCACCUUCUACGUCAACACGGACCGGGACGACGACUACGCCGGCUUCGUCUUUGGCUACCAGUCCAGCAGCCGCUUCUACGUGGUGAUGUGGAAGCAGGUGACGCAGACCUACUGGGAGGACCAGCCCACGCGGGCCUACGGCUACUCCGGGGUGUCGCUCAAGGUGGUAAACUCCACCACGGGCACCGGCGAGCACCUGCGCAACGCCCUGUGGCACACAGGGAACACGGAGGGGCAGGUUCGUACCCUGUGGCACGACCCCAAAAAUAUUGGCUGGAAGGACUACACUGCCUACCGGUGGCACCUGACCCACAGGCCUAAGACGGGCUACAUAAGAGUCUUAGUGCACGAGGGAAAACAGGUGAUGGCCGAUUCGGGACCCAUCUACGACCAGACCUACGCGGGCGGGCGCCUGGGCCUGUUCGUCUUCUCUCAAGAAAUGGUCUACUUCUCGGACCUCAAAUACGAAUGCAGAGAUAUCUAAACCAGAUUUGCUGUGUUUCCAGCAAAGUACUGUAGAAGCGGUCAUCCAGACAGCUCAGUCCAUCCCGGUGCUCACGGCUUCUCUCUCUAGCAGCACCUCUGUUCUCGACCCCUCACUCUGAGCGGUUCUCCACCUCCUGCCACCAGCCCAAGCCCAAGCGCCUUCAGAGGAUGAAUGUUAAUGGAGCCAGACACACAUCCAGCUCCACUGCAGGAAGACCGGCGCGGUGACACCUGAGACUUUACGUGGAGUGAAAAUUGAGCAUGAUAUUAUGUUUGUUGUUUGUUUAAAAAGAAUGACGUUUACAUAUGAAAUGUAAGUACUUAUUGUAUUUAUGUGUAUAUGGAGGUGAAGGGGAUUUUGUGCAUAAGCCGUUAUCAUAAAUUAAGCAGGAAAAUUAUGGCUACACUGCUUUCAGUGCUUUCAGUUGGGUGGGCGAGCACCCAGAUCCUGUUAGGUCGAUUAUAAAGAAGGGUCAGCUCAAGUGGGAGGUAGCGCCGUCGUAAGACGGAGGUCAGAGGGUGAUGUGGACGUGAUAACUGCCUGGAACGUGAGAACGGAUCCCAGCAGUGAAAGAGCCCCUCCCCACUCUCCUGUCCCGCAGUGGGAGCCCCAGGGGCGCAGUUCUAUCCAGGAAGGAAUGUCUUUGCAAAGGGCUCAUUUCUGCAAAGACGCAGGACGGGGAGGGUGGCCCUUCGAGGCGGGGCGGACCUGGGAGAAUCCUCGGCACUUGCCUCUGCAUUCUGGUCACCAGAAUCCUUGCUGGAGCGUCUCCUGUGGGCCCGCCGCUGGGGGAGCGCCAGCUGAAAAGCAAAUGGGCGACCGCACCUUGGCAUCUCACCCCAUCCCAGAGGCCUUGACACCUCAGACAGGUGGCUUUUACCUAACUUGGUAACACAUUUCAUUAAGGUUCCGGUCAUAAAUGCUGUGUUAAUAUUUAUUGAAUGAAUGCAGAAUGAAGUUCCAUUCACCAGUAACUUAUUUUAAAUAAGCCAAGUAGCCCCAUGUAGUAUAAUUUCUAGACGUAAACAUAUAACUAGUAUAUAAGACACAGUUACAGCAAAUAUCUUCCUGCGAAAAUACACGGCUUGAUAAUACUACGUUGCCAUCUUAACGCGUAUGCUACCCAGUGUGAUGGACUAAAUAAAUACUAAUGAAGAGUUGACCAUGGAACCUUAAUACAUUCUGUUGCCGGUGACUUUCAUCCUUUCUUGUGGUCAUCUAUCUAUCUGCUGUGCGUAGGAUCUUAGGACACUGGAUCCUGCCGACCCGUCUGAGCAGACACAGCCAUUGAUCCGUCAUCAGUAGCGCACACACGUUUGGUUUUGUUGUUGCUGUGAGUUGCGUGCUCUUUGCGCAGGAAACACUCGUUAGUCUCACUGCAGGCGGGGACUCGGGAAGAAGACUUUGUCGGUCCUCCCGCGAGAAGGAUCUCACUCCACUGCCGGGGAGAGGGCCACGACCCGUCUUUCCUCGCGCCGCCCGUCUCCUAAAGGCAUGUUUGUUGCUUCCUCUGAGGUGGAUUUUCCUUUUGUUUUGCUGCACUUUCUACCUGUCUUGGUGGAGCUGUAUCCCCAAGACCAGGAAGGGUUGGGAAACGUCAUUAAAUGGAAGUUGUGACGAGCGCGUAGGUUUUCUGUGAUGUUUGGGGGACCACGGCGCUGUGGGAUGGUUAUGUGAAUAUUUAGAAUGUGCCAUGUGGUUUUUUGUAAAUUAUUUAUGUUUUUUUUAAAAACAAACUUCUGGUACAGACGGAUGAAACUUCUUUUGUUUUGCCAAAGACUGUAAAUAUUUAUUUAUUUGUUCACAUGGUCAAAAUUUCACCACUGAAUCCCUGCAUUUAGCUAGAGCCUCAUUUUUCUAAAGAUUAAUAACAGGAAAUAAAUUGUACAAAGGUUUUCUCUA